RNAcentral lists this transfer RNA (69 nucleotides) under Sphaerodactylus townsendi. RNAcentral's name for it is "tRNA-Gly". It matches the Rfam family "tRNA". From Rfam's summary of the family: Transfer RNA (tRNA) molecules are approximately 80 nucleotides in length. Their secondary structure includes four short double-helical elements and three loops (D, anti-codon, and T loops). Further hydrogen bonds mediate the characteristic L-shaped molecular structure. tRNAs have two regions of fundamental functional importance: the anti-codon, which is responsible for specific mRNA codon recognition, and the 3' end, to which the tRNAs corresponding amino acid is attached (by aminoacyl-tRNA synthetases). tRNAs cope with the degeneracy of the genetic code in two manners: having more than one tRNA (with a specific anti-codon) for a particular amino acid; and 'wobble' base-pairing, i.e. permitting non-standard base-pairing at the 3rd anti-codon position. The record is from RNAcentral. Lineage: Eukaryota; Metazoa; Chordata; Lepidosauria; Squamata; Sphaerodactylidae.
GCCGUGGCUCAGCGGGAGAGUCUCUGCUUGCCAUGCAGGAGGCCCCAGGUUCAAUUCCUGGUAUCUCCA